AUACUUACCUGCUACGAGCUUACCGUGAUCAACAAGGCGGUGGCUAUCUCGGGUUCUCGACAUUGCACAACAGUUCGAAGGCCCGGGGUCACCUGGCUCUUCGGAGUCAGCGUGAGUGGACAUUUUUUGGUGGUGGGAGGGAUUGCGUUCGCGCGGUCCGCUCCUG
Spizellomyces punctatus DAOM BR117 is the source of this 166-nucleotide small nuclear RNA. It matches the Rfam family "U1 spliceosomal RNA". From Rfam's summary of the family: U1 is a small nuclear RNA (snRNA) component of the spliceosome (involved in pre-mRNA splicing). Its 5' end forms complementary base pairs with the 5' splice junction, thus defining the 5' donor site of an intron. The record is from Rfam. NCBI's taxonomy places the organism in Eukaryota, Fungi, Chytridiomycota, Chytridiomycetes, Spizellomycetales, Spizellomycetaceae.